CCGGCGCACGGGUGCGUACAGUAUGCACCUACCUUUAUCUGGGGGAUAGCCUUCGAAAGGAAGAUUAAUACCCCAUAAUAUGUUGAAUGGCAUCAUUCGACAUUGAAAACUCCGGUGGAUAGAGAUGGGCACGCGCAAGAUUAGAUAGUUGGUGAGGUAACGGCUCACCAAGUCUACGAUCUUUAGGGGGCCUGAGAGGGUGAUCCCCCACACUGGUACUGAGACACGGACCAGACUCCUACGGGAGGCAGCAGUGAGGAAUAUUGGACAAUGGGUGAGAGCCUGAUCCAGCCAUCCCGCGUGAAGGACGACUGCCUAUGGGUUGUAAACUUCUUUUGUAUAGGGAUAAACCUACCCUCGUGAGGGUAGCUGAAGGUACUAUAACGAAUAAGCACCGGCUAACUCCGUGCCAGCAGCCGCGGUAAAUACGGAGGGUGCAAGCGUUAUCCGGAUUAUUGGGUUUAAAGGGUCCGUAGCGGAUCCUGUAAAGUCAGUGGGUGGAAAAUCUCAACAGGUUUAACUUGUUGAAACUUGGCCAAUUUGAAUAACUGGCAGGGUUCUUGAAGUGUUGGUUGAAAGGUAGCUGGGAAAUAAAGUAGU
This 600-nucleotide ribosomal RNA is filed under the name uncultured bacterium. RNAcentral describes it as "partial 16S ribosomal RNA". It matches the Rfam family "Bacterial small subunit ribosomal RNA", at positions 95 to 716 of the family's 1533-position model. The record is from RNAcentral.